Molecule: ribosomal RNA, 433 nt
Filed under: uncultured bacterium
Lineage: Bacteria
Description: partial 16S ribosomal RNA
Rfam family: Bacterial small subunit ribosomal RNA
Source: RNAcentral
AACGAACGCUGGCGGCAGGCCUAACACAUGCAAGUCGAGCGAGACCUUCGGGUCUAGCGGCGGACGGGUGAGUAACGCGUGGGAACGUGCCCUUUUCUGCGGAAUAGCCUCGGGAAACUGAGCGUAAUACCGCAUACGCCCUUCGGGGGAAAGAUUUAUCGGAAAAGGAUCGGCCCGCGUUGGAUUAGGUAGUUGGUGGGGUAAUGGCCUACCAAGCCUACGAUCCAUAGCUGGUUUGAGAGGAUGAUCAGCCACACUGGGACUGAGACACGGCCCAGACUCCUACGGGAGGCAGCAGUGGGGAAUCUUAGACAAUGGGGGCAACCCUGAUCUAGCCAUGCCGCGUGAGUGAUGAAGGCCUUAGGGUUGUAAAGCUCUUUCAGCUGGGAAGAUAAUGACGGUACCAGCAGAAGAAGCCCCGGCUAACUCCGUG